RNAcentral lists this ribosomal RNA (424 nucleotides) under Fusobacteriota bacterium. RNAcentral's name for it is "Fusobacteria bacterium partial 16S ribosomal RNA". It matches the Rfam family "Bacterial small subunit ribosomal RNA", at positions 355 to 776 of the family's 1533-position model. The record is from RNAcentral. Lineage: Bacteria; Fusobacteriati; Fusobacteriota.
UGAGGAAUAUUGGUCAAUGGGCGAGAGCCUGCACCAGCCAAGUAGCGUGCAGGAUGACGGCCCUAUGGGUUGUAAACUGCUUUUAUGUGGGGAUAAAGUGCGUGACGUGUCAUGCAUUGCAGGUACCACAUGAAUAAGGACCGGCUAAUUCCGUGCCAGAAGCCGCGGUAAUACGGAAGGUCCGGGCGUUAUCCGGAUUUAUUGGGUUUAAAGGGAGCGUAGGCUGUCUAUUAAGCGUGUUGUGAAAUUUACCGGCUCAACCGGUGGCUUGCAGCGCGAACUGGUCGACUUGAGUAUGCAGGAAGUAGGCGGAAUUCAUGGUGUAGCGGUGAAAUGCUUAGAUAUCAUGACGAACUCCGAUUGCGCAGGCAGCUUACUGUAGCAUAACUGACGCUGAUGCUCGAAAGUGCGGGUAUCAAACAGG